Molecule: ribosomal RNA, 638 nt
Filed under: uncultured actinomycete
Lineage: Bacteria; Bacillati; Actinomycetota; Actinomycetes; Actinomycetales
Description: bacterial SSU rRNA
Rfam family: Bacterial small subunit ribosomal RNA
Source: RNAcentral
GCGGCCUAUCAGCUUGUUGGUGAGGUAAUGGCUCACCAAGGCAUCGACGGGUAGCUGGUCUGAGAGGAUGAUCAGCCACACUGGGACUGAGACACGGCCCAGACUCCUACGGGAGGCAGCAGUGGGGAAUAUUGCACAAUGGGCGCAAGCCUGAUGCAGCAACGCCGCGUGCGGGAAGAAGGCCCUAGGGUUGUAAACCGCUUUCAGCAGGGAAGAAAAUGACGGUACCUGCAGAAGAAGGUGCGGCCAACUACGUGCCAGCAGCCGCGGUGACACGUAGGCACCAAGCGUUGUCCGGAUUUAUUGGGCGUAAAGAGCUCGUAGGCGGUUUUGUAAGUCGGGUGUGAAAACUCUGGGCUCAACCCAGAGAGGCCACUCGAUACUGCAAUGACUUGAGUACGGUAGGGGAGCGGGGAAUUCCUGGUGUAGCGGUGAAAUGCGCAGAUAUCAGGAGGAACACCAGUGGCGAAGGCGCCGCUCUGGGCCGUAACUGACGCUGAGGAGCGAAAGCAUGGGUAGCAAACAGGAUUAGAUACCCUGGUAGUCCAUGCCGUAAACGUUGGGCACUAGGUGUGGGUCUCAACCAACGAGAUCCGCGCCGUCGCUAACGCAUUAAGUGCCCCGCCUGGGGAGUACGG